This 112-nucleotide non-coding RNA is filed under the name Actinobacteria bacterium IMCC26256. Its description in RNAcentral is "TPP riboswitch aptamer (THI element)". It matches the Rfam family "TPP riboswitch aptamer (THI element)". Rfam says of the family: Vitamin B(1) in its active form thiamin pyrophosphate (TPP) is an essential coenzyme that is synthesised by coupling of pyrimidine and thiazole moieties in bacteria. The previously detected thiamin-regulatory element, thi box was extended, resulting in a new, highly conserved RNA secondary structure, the THI element, which is widely distributed in eubacteria and also occurs in some archaea. Analysis of operon structures identified a large number of new candidate thiamin-regulated genes, mostly transporters, in various prokaryotic organisms. The record is from Rfam by way of RNAcentral. RNAcentral also lists the same sequence under 1 other name. Lineage: Bacteria; Bacillati; Actinomycetota; Actinomycetes.
UCUACAACACGCGGGAGUCCAGUGAACUGGGCUGAGAGGGCGGUUAAGUAACCGUCGACCGUAAGAACCUGAUCCGGGUCAUGCCGGUGUAGGGAGUGCAGGGCCGUCACCC